CAAAUCUGGAGUGCUAUUGUGAUAGCUCUUUUGUGACAACUGUCCAAGGAGAUGGUUUAAUAGUAUCUACCACAUCUGGGAGCACAGCAUAUUCUUUAGCAGCUGGAGGAUCCAUGGUACAUCCUCAGGUUUGGCCGUUUGGUUCAUUGUUUGGCAUAUUAAUAGUCCAAUUAAAAAAUACUUGGUAACAUAAUCUUUAAAUGUAUAAUCAAUCCAAUUUGAAAAAAUCCACAGGUGCCUGGAAUUCUUUUCACACCCAUCUGUCCACAUUCUCUAUCAUUCCGACCUCUAAUAUUCCAGGAGUGUGCAACUUUGAGGAUUCAAGUACCAUAUAACAGUCGAGGACAUGCAUGGGUGUCGUUUGAUGGGAAAGACAGGACACAAUUAGGAGCAGGCGAUGCACUAGUAAUUAGCAUGGCAGCUUGGCCCGUUCCAAUGGCAUGCCAAACGGAUUC
RNAcentral lists this long non-coding RNA (455 nucleotides) under Zostera marina. RNAcentral describes it as "long non-coding RNA (ZMAR_LNC002930)". Lineage: Eukaryota; Viridiplantae; Streptophyta; Magnoliopsida; Alismatales; Zosteraceae. The record is from RNAcentral.